ACGAACGCUGGCGGCGUGCUUAACACCUGCCAGUCGCACGGAAAGGCCCUGCUUUUGUGGGGUGCUCGAGUGGCGAACGGGUGAGUAACACGUGAGUAACCUGCCCUUGACUUUGGGAUAACUUCAGGAAACUGGGGCUAAUACCGGAUAGGAGCUCCUGCUGCAUGGUGGGGGUUGGAAAGUUUCGGCGGUUGGGGAUGGACUCGCGGCUUAUCAGCUUGUUGGUGGGGUAGUGGCUUACCAAGGCUUUGACGGGUAGCCGGCCUGAGAGGGUGACCGGCCACAUUGGGACUAAGAUACGGCCCAGACUCCUACGGGAGGCAGCAGUGGGGAAUAUUGCACAAUGGGCGGAAGCCUGAUGCAGCAACGCCGCGUGCGGGAUGACGGCCUUCGUGUUGUAAACCGCUUUCGCCUGUGACGAAGCGUGAGUGACGGUAAUGGGUAAAGAAGCACCGGCCAACUACGUG
This 467-nucleotide ribosomal RNA is filed under the name uncultured bacterium. Its description in RNAcentral is "partial 16S ribosomal RNA". It matches the Rfam family "Bacterial small subunit ribosomal RNA", at positions 29 to 507 of the family's 1533-position model. The record is from RNAcentral.